CACCCGUCCCUCGUGUCCACGCGUGCCGUGGAGGGACGCAUCUGCGGGCACUUGCCCUCGCUCCCCUCGGGAUGGCACCCGCCGUCGCUCCCUCGGCACAACAACGAACCCCGGCGCGGACCGCGCCAAGGAAUCUUAACGAGAGAGCGUGCCCUUGCCGCCCCGGAAACGGUGCGUGUGCUUGUGGCGUCGCCUUCUUCCAUUAUUUAAAACGACUCUCGGCAACGGAUAUCUCGGCUCUCGCAUCGAUGAAGAACGUAGCGAAAUGCGAUACUUGGUGUGAAUUGCAGAAUCCCGUGAACCAUCGAGUCUUUGAACGCAAGUUGCGCCCCAAGCCGUUAGGCCGAGGGCACGCCUGCCUGGGUGUCACGCAUCGUUGCCCCCCCCUCCGAAACCCCUCUCCUCGCCUCUCGAAAGAGAGAGACGGAUGGGACUUGGGUGUGGGCGGAUAUUGGCCUCCCGUGGGCCGAACGGCUCGCGGUUGGCCUAAAUUUGAGUCGUCGGCGAUGGACGCCGUGACGUUCGGUGGUCGAAUAAACCUCGAGCUCUCGUCGCGCGUCCUUCGUCGGUAUAGUAAGGCUCACUGACCCUGAAGCGUUGUCAACAACGCACGCAUCGCGACCCCAGGUCAGGCGGGAUUACCCGCUGAG
This 650-nucleotide ribosomal RNA is filed under the name embryophyte environmental sample. RNAcentral's name for it is "eukaryotic LSU rRNA". The stretch from base 214 to 369 matches the Rfam family "5.8S ribosomal RNA". Lineage: Eukaryota; Viridiplantae; Streptophyta. The record is from RNAcentral.